UUAGGCAUGCAAGUCGAGCGCAAUCUUUUGUUUAGCAAUAAAUGAGAGUGAAAGCGGCGAAAGGGAUAGUAACACGUGGAUCACGUACCCUCGGGUUUGGGAUAGCGGCGGGAAACUGCCGGUAAUACCAGAUAAUGUCUCCGGACCAAAGAUUUAUUGCCCGAGGAGCGGUCCGCGUCCUAUUAGGUAGUUGGUGGGGUAAUGGCUCACCAAGCCAAAGAUGGGUAGCGGGUGUGAGAGCACGACCCGCAUCACUGGGACUGAGACACUGCCCAGACACCUACGGGUGGCUGCAGUCGAGAAUCUUCCGCAAUGGGCGAAAGCCUGACGGAGCGACGCCGCGUGUGGGACGAAGGCCUUCGGGUUGUAAACCACUGUCGAGGGGGAGCAAAUUUUGAGCGAUCCCUGGAGGAAGCACCGGCUAAACUCGUGCCAGCAGCCGCGGUAAUACGAGUGGUGCAAACGUUAUUCGGAAUCACUGGGCUUAAAGGGUGCGUAGGCUGCUAUGAAGGUCUGAUGUGAAAUACCACGGCUCAACCGUGGAACGGCGUUGGAAACCACAUGGCUGGAGUGAGACAGAGGUAAGCGGAACUGAUGGUGGAGCGGUGAAAUGCGUUGAUAUCAUCAGGAACACCGGUGGCGAAAGCGGCUUACUGGGUCUUUACUGACGCUGAUGCACGAAAGCUAGG
This 689-nucleotide ribosomal RNA is filed under the name uncultured soil bacterium. RNAcentral's name for it is "bacterial SSU rRNA". It matches the Rfam family "Bacterial small subunit ribosomal RNA", at positions 49 to 764 of the family's 1533-position model. The record is from RNAcentral.